This 629-nucleotide ribosomal RNA is filed under the name Ciliophora sp. Its description in RNAcentral is "SSU rRNA". It matches the Rfam family "Eukaryotic small subunit ribosomal RNA", at positions 341 to 980 of the family's 1831-position model. Lineage: Eukaryota; Ciliophora. The record is from RNAcentral.
CUACCAUGGCGAUCACGGGUAACGGGGAAUUAGGGUUCGAUUCCGGAGAGGGAGCCUGAGAAAUGGCUACCACAUCUAAGGAAGGCAGCAGGCGCGUAAAUUACCCAAUCCUAAUUCAGGGAGGUAGUGACAAGAAAUAACAACUCGGGCCCCACUUGGGGUUACGGGAUUGCAAUGAGAACAAUUUAAACCACUUAUCGAGUAACAAUUGGAGGGCAAGUCUGGUGCCAGCAGCCGCGGUAAUUCCAGCUCCAAUAGCGUAUAUUAAAGUUGUUGCAGUUAAAAAGCUCGUAGUUGAAUUUCUGGCCGGCGCUGUUCACGGCUCUCGCAGUCGGUUCAGGAGCCUGGUCAUCCGUAGGGGAAGCUAGCUCGUCCUUCAGUGGUCGGCUAGUGGAUCAUACACUUUACUUUGAAAAAAUUAGAGUGUUUCAGGCAGGCAAUUGCUUGGAUACUGCAGCAUGGAAUAAUGGAAUAGGACUUUGACCUAUUUGUUGGUUUCUUGAGGUCAAAGUAAUGAUUAAUAGGGACAGUUGGGGGCAUCCGUAUUUAAUUGUCAGAGGUGAAAUUCUUGGAUUUAUUAAAGACGAACUUAUGCGAAAGCAUUUGCCAAGGAUGUUUUCAUUAAUCAA